ACUGGCCCAACAGAAAUGACGUGCUUGCACUGAUUUGACGUUGGAUUCCCAGUGAGCGGCGGACGGGUGAGUAACACGUGGGCAACCUGCCCCAAAGCGGGGGAUAACAUUUGGAAACAGGUGCUAAUACCGCAUAACUUGGAAAACCACAUGGUUUUCCAAUAAAAGAUGGUUUCGGCUAUCACUUUGGGAUGGGCCCGCGGUGCAUUAGCUAGUUGGUAAGGUAACGGCUUACCAAGGCGAUGAUGCAUAGCCGAGUUGAGAGACUGAUCGGCCACAAUGGAACUGAGACACGGUCCAUACUCCUACGGGAGGCAGCAGUAGGGAAUCUUCCACAAUGGGCGCAAGCCUGAUGGAGCAACACCGCGUGAGUGAAGAAGGGUUUCGGCUCGUAAAACUCUGUUGUUGGAGAAGAACGUGCGUAAGAGUAACUGUUUACGCAGUGACGGUAUCCAACCAGAAAGUCACGGCUAACUACGUGCCAGCAGCCGCGGUAAUACGUAGGUGGCAAGCGUUAUCCGGAUUUAUUGGGCGUAAAGCGAGCGCAGGCGGUUGCUUAGGUCUGAUGUGAAAGCCUUCGGCUUAACCGAAGAAGUGCAUCGGAAACCGGGCGACUUGAGUGCAGAAGAGGACAGUG
This 637-nucleotide ribosomal RNA is filed under the name Limosilactobacillus oris. Its description in RNAcentral is "bacterial SSU rRNA". It matches the Rfam family "Bacterial small subunit ribosomal RNA", at positions 45 to 663 of the family's 1533-position model. Lineage: Bacteria; Bacillati; Bacillota; Bacilli; Lactobacillales; Lactobacillaceae. The record is from RNAcentral.